Molecule: ribosomal RNA, 1976 nt
Filed under: human gut metagenome
Description: bacterial LSU rRNA
Rfam family: Bacterial large subunit ribosomal RNA
Source: RNAcentral
UUAAGCGACUAAGCGUACACGGUGGAUGCCCUGGCAGUCAGAGGCGAUGAAGGACGUGCUAAUCUGCGAUAAGCGUCGGUGAGGUGAUAUGAACCGUUAUAACCGGCGAUUUCCGAAUGGGGAAACCCAGUGUGUUUCGACACACUAUCAUUAACUGAAUCCAUAGGUUAAUGAGGCGAACCGGGGGAACUGAAACAUCUAAGUACCCCGAGGAAAAGAAAUCAACCGAGAUUCCCCCAGUAGCGGCGAGCGAACGGGGAGGAGCCCAGAGCCUGAAUCAGUGUGUGUGUUAGUGGAAGCGUCUGGAAAGGCGCGCGAUACAGGGUGACAGCCCCGUACACAAAAAUGCACAUAUUGUGAGCUCGAUGAGUAGGGCGGGACACGUGGUAUCCUGUCUGAAUAUGGGGGGACCAUCCUCCAAGGCUAAAUACUCCUGACUGACCGAUAGUGAACCAGUACCGUGAGGGAAAGGCGAAAAGAACCCCGGCGAGGGGAGUGAAAAAGAACCUGAAACCGUGUACGUACAAGCAGUGGGAGCCUCUUAAUGGGGUGACUGCGUACCUUUUGUAUAAUGGGUCAGCGACUUAUAUUCUGUAGCAAGGUUAACCGAAUAGGGGAGCCGAAGGGAAACCGAGUCUUAACUGGGCGUUAAGUUGCAGGGUAUAGACCCGAAACCCGGUGAUCUAGCCAUGGGCAGGUUGAAGGUUGGGUAACACUAACUGGAGGACCGAACCGACUAAUGUUGAAAAAUUAGCGGAUGACUUGUGGCUGGGGGUGAAAGGCCAAUCAAACCGGGAGAUAGCUGGUUCUCCCCGAAAGCUAUUUAGGUAGCGCCUCGUGAAUUCAUCUCCGGGGGUAGAGCACUGUUUCGGCAAGGGGGUCAUCCCGACUUACCAACCCGAUGCAAACUGCGAAUACCGGAGAAUGUUAUCACGGGAGACACACGGCGGGUGCUAACGUCCGUCGUGAAGAGGGAAACAACCCAGACCGCCAGCUAAGGUCCCAAAGUCAUGGUUAAGUGGGAAACGAUGUGGGAAGGCCCAGACAGCCAGGAUGUUGGCUUAGAAGCAGCCAUCAUUUAAAGAAAGCGUAAUAGCUCACUGGUCGAGUCGGCCUGCGCGGAAGAUGUAACGGGGCUAAACCAUGCACCGAAGCUGCGGCAGCGACACUAUGUGUUGUUGGGUAGGGGAGCGUUCUGUAAGCCUGUGAAGGUGUACUGUGAGGUAUGCUGGAGGUAUCAGAAGUGCGAAUGCUGACAUAAGUAACGAUAAAGCGGGUGAAAAGCCCGCUCGCCGGAAGACCAAGGGUUCCUGUCCAACGUUAAUCGGGGCAGGGUGAGUCGACCCCUAAGGCGAGGCCGAAAGGCGUAGUCGAUGGGAAACAGGUUAAUAUUCCUGUACUUGGUGUUACUGCGAAGGGGGGACGGAGAAGGCUAUGUUGGCCGGGCGACGGUUGUCCCGGUUUAAGCGUGUAGGCUGGUUUUCCAGGCAAAUCCGGAAAAUCAAGGCUGAGGCGUGAUGACGAGGCACUACGGUGCUGAAGCGACAAAUGCCCUGCUUCCAGGAAAAGCCUCUAAGCAUCAGGUAACAUCAAAUCGUACCCCAAACCGACACAGGUGGUCAGGUAGAGAAUACCAAGGCGCUUGAGAGAACUCGGGUGAAGGAACUAGGCAAAAUGGUGCCGUAACUUCGGGAGAAGGCACGCUGAUAUGUAGGUGAAGCGACUUGCUCGUGGAGCUGAAAUCAGUCGAAGAUACCAGCUGGCUGCAACUGUUUAUUAAAAACACAGCACUGUGCAAACACGAAAGUGGACGUAUACGGUGUGACGCCUGCCCGGUGCCGGAAGGUUAAUUGAUGGGGUUAGCGGUAACGCGAAGCUCUUGAUCGAAGCCCCGGUAAACGGCGGCCGUAACUAUAACGGUCCUAAGGUAGCGAAAUUCCUUGUCGGGUAAGUUCCGACCUGCACGAAUGGCAUAA